GUUGUAUGGUUAAGUGACUAAGCGUACACGGUGGAUGCCUUGGCAGUCAGAGGCGAUGAAAGACGUAGUAACUUGCGAUAAGCCCAGAUUAGGUAGUAACAACCAUUUGAGUCUGGGAUUUCUGAAUGGGGAAACCCACUUACAUAAGUAAGUAUCAUUAACUGAAUACAUAGGUUAAUGAGGCGAACCGGGGGAACUGAAACAUCUAAGUACCCCGAGGAAAAGAAAUCAACCGAGAUUCCGAAAGUAGCGGCGAGCGAAAUUGGACUAGCCCUUAAGCUUUACACGCGUUAGACGAACGGUCUGGAAAGUCCGACGAUACAGGGUGAUAGUCCCGUAGUUGACGAUGUGUGUUCAGUGAAAUCGAGUAGGGCGGGACACGUGAUAUCCUGUCUGAAUAUGGGGGGACCAUCCUCCAAGGCUAAAUACUACUGACUGACCGAUAGUGAACCAGUACCGUGAGGGAAAGGCGAAAAGAACCCCUGUGAGGGGAGUGAAAUAGAACCUGAAACCGUGUACGUACAAGCAGUAGGAGCAGGCUUUGUCCUGUGACUGCGUACCUUUUGUAUAAUGGGUCAGCGACUUAUAUUCAGUGGCAAGGUUAACCAUCUAGGGGAGCCGUAGGGAAACCGAGUCUUAACUGGGCGUUCAGUCUCUGGAUAUAGACCCGAAACCAGGUGAUCUAGCCAUGGGCAGGUUGAAGGUUGAGUAACAUCAACUGGAGGACCGAACCGACUAAUGUUGAAAAAUUAGCGGAUGACUUGUGGCUAGGGGUGAAAGGCCAAUCAAACCUGGAGAUAGCUGGUUCUCCCCGAAAGCUAUUUAGGUAGCGCCUCGGACGAAUACUACUGGGGGUAGAGCACUGUUAAGGCUAGGGGGUCAUCCCGACUUACCAACCCUUUGCAAACUCCGAAUACCAGUAAGUACUAUCCGGGAGACACACGGCGGGUGCUAACGUCCGUCGUGGAGAGGGAAACAACCCAGACCGCCAGCUAAGGUCCCAAAUUACUACUAAGUGGGAAACGAUGUGGGAAGGCUCAGACAGCCAGGAUGUUGGCUUAGAAGCAGCCAUCAUUUAAAGAAAGCGUAAUAGCUCACUGGUCGAGUCGGCCUGCGCGGAAGAUGUAACGGGGCUAAGUAGUAAACCGAAGCUGCGGCAAUAUACUUUUGUAUAUUGGGUAGGGGAGCGUUCUGUAAGCGGUUGAAGGUGUGUGGUAACGCAUGCUGGACGUAUCAGAAGUGCGAAUGCUGACAUGAGUAACGAUAAAGGGGGUGAAAAACCUCCUCGCCGGAAGACCAAGGGUUCCUGUCCAACGUUAAUCGGGGCAGGGUAAGUCGACCCCUAAGGCGAGGCCGAAAGGCGUAGUCGAUGGGAAACGGGUUAAUAUUCCCGUACUUCUUACAAUUGCGAUGGGGGGACGGAGAAGGCUAGGUGGGCCUGGCGACGGUUGUCCAGGUUCAAGUGCGUAGGCUUGAGAGUUAGGUAAAUCCGACUCUCUUUAAGGCUGAGACACGACGUCGAGCACCUACGGGUGUGAAGUCAUUGAUGCCAUGCUUCCAGGAAAAGCCUCUAAGCUUCAGAUUGUAAGGAAUCGUACCCCAAACCGACACAGGUGGUCGGGUAGAGAAUACCAAGGCGCUUGAGAGAACUCGGGUGAAGGAACUAGGCAAAAUGGUACCGUAACUUCGGGAGAAGGUACGCUCUCGACGGUGAAGUCCCUCGCGGAUGGAGCUAUUGAGAGUCGCAGAUACCAGGUGGCUGCAACUGUUUAUUAAAAACACAGCACUGUGCAAAAUCGUAAGAUGACGUAUACGGUGUGACGCCUGCCCGGUGCCGGAAGGUUAAUUGAUGGGGUUAGACUUCGGUCGAAGCUCUUGAUCGAAGCCCCGGUAAACGGCGGCCGUAACUAUAACGGUCCUAAGGUAGCGAAAUUCCUUGUCGGGUAAGUUCCGACCUGCACGAAUGGCGUAAUGAUGGCCACGCUGUCUCCACCCGAGACUCAGUGAAAUUGAAAUCGCUGUGAAGAUGCAGUGUACCCGCGGCUAGACGGAAAGACCCCGUGAACCUUUACUACAGCUUGGCACUGAACAUUGACCCUACAUGUGUAGGAUAGGUGGGAGGCUUUGAAGCACGUACGCCAGUAUGUGUGGAGCCGUCCUUGAAAUACCACCCUUGUAGUGUUGAUGUUCUAACGUCGACCCCUAAUCGGGGUUGCGGACAGUGCCUGGUGGGUAGUUUGACUGGGGCGGUCUCCUCCCAAAGAGUAACGGAGGAGCACGAAGGUGGGCUAAUCACGGUUGGACAUCGUGAGGUUAGUGCAAUGGCAUAAGCCCGCUUGACUGCGAGAAUGACAAUUCGAGCAGGUGCGAAAGCAGGUCAUAGUGAUCCGGUGGUUCUGAAUGGAAGGGCCAUCGCUCAACGGAUAAAAGGUACUCCGGGGAUAACAGGCUGAUACCGCCCAAGAGUUCAUAUCGACGGCGGUGUUUGGCACCUCGAUGUCGGCUCAUCACAUCCUGGGGCUGAAGUCGGUCCCAAGGGUAUGGCUGUUCGCCAUUUAAAGUGGUACGCGAGCUGGGUUUAGAACGUCGUGAGACAGUUCGGUCCCUAUCUGCCGUGGGCGUUGGAAGAUUGAAGGGGGCUGCUCCUAGUACGAGAGGACCGGAGUGGACGAACCUCUGGUGUUCGGGUUGUGUCGCCAGACGCAUUGCCCGGUAGCUAAGUUCGGAAUCGAUAACCGCUGAAAGCAUCUAAGCGGGAAGCGAGCCCUGAGAUGAGUCUUCCCUGAUACUUUAAGUAUCCUAAAGGGUUGUCGGAGACUACGACGUUGAUAGGUCAGGUGUGUAAGUGCUGUGAGGCAUUGAGCUAACUGAUACUAAUUGCCCGUGAGGCUUAACCAUACAACACCCAAGGGGUUU
RNAcentral lists this ribosomal RNA (2916 nucleotides) under Vibrio parahaemolyticus. Its description in RNAcentral is "bacterial LSU rRNA". It matches the Rfam family "Bacterial large subunit ribosomal RNA". The record is from RNAcentral. Lineage: Bacteria; Pseudomonadati; Pseudomonadota; Gammaproteobacteria; Vibrionales; Vibrionaceae.